Molecule: ribosomal RNA, 491 nt
Filed under: uncultured bacterium
Lineage: Bacteria
Description: partial 16S ribosomal RNA
Rfam family: Bacterial small subunit ribosomal RNA
Source: RNAcentral
GUGAACGCUGGCGGUAGGCCUAACACAUGCAAGUCGAACGGCAGCACAGUAAGAGCUUGCUCUUACGGGUGGCGAGUGGCGGACGGGUGAGGAAUACAUCGGAAUCUACUUUUUCGUGGGGGAUAACGUAGGGAAACUUACGCUAAUACCGCAUACGACCUACGGGUGAAAGCAGGGGAUCUUCGGACCUUGCGCGAUUGAAUGAGCCGAUGUCGGAUUAGCUAGUUGGCGGGGUAAAGGCCCACCAAGGCGACGAUCCGUAGCUGGUCUGAGAGGAUGAUCAGCCACACUGGAACUGAGACACGGUCCAGACUCCUACGGGAGGCAGCGGUGGGGAAUAUUGGACAAUGGGCGCAAGCCUGAUCCAGCCAUACCGCGUGGGUGAAGAAGGCCUUCGGGUUGUAAAGCCCUUUUGUUGGGAAAGAAAAGCAGCAGGUUAAUACCCCGCUGUUCUGACGGUACCCAAAGAAUAAGCACCGGCUAACUUCGUG